This is a long non-coding RNA of Lathyrus oleraceus (garden pea), 512 nucleotides long. RefSeq lists it as uncharacterized. NCBI's taxonomy places the organism in Eukaryota, Viridiplantae, Streptophyta, Magnoliopsida, Fabales, Fabaceae. The record is from RefSeq and is a predicted model, not a curated record. The transcript is spliced from 2 exons.
CAUUUCUCCUCACAUGCAAGACAAGUGGCAUGAGCAGGCCAUUUGUCAAUGCCCAUAAACUCAGUAAAACGACCAAAAGAGAAGGGUUGAGUUCAUUUCAACUCCUUCCAUCCCAUCUUCACUCCCUCUCUCACCAAACUCGCUCUGCAACACCUCCACCGGAGAAAACGAUGGUAAGCGGCCGCCCAUGGAGGCGCCGCCCCUCUUCUCUGGCUAACCUCAACAAUCCGUUAUUGCAUAUUGCUGAUUUUGUGGGAAUUUUGGGAUUGAGUUGGUGCGUGUGAUACCUUCCAUGUGGCUGUUAUUUGGUGAUCCCAAAGUUGUAUGAUGAUUCUAUGUAUAGAUGAUGAGGAUGAAUCAUGGAGCACAUGGAAAGGACAUGAGGAAGCUGCACGAUGGAUGUAGGAACUCAGUCAUGCCACAUUUGCACUUUAUUUCUUUUUUUCUGAAAUGAAAUAAUAUGUACCAUAAACCUUGGUGUACUAUUUUAUUUCAAAACUUAUUUAAACGUA